This 253-nucleotide ribosomal RNA is filed under the name uncultured bacterium. Its description in RNAcentral is "partial 16S ribosomal RNA". It matches the Rfam family "Bacterial small subunit ribosomal RNA", at positions 524 to 776 of the family's 1533-position model. The record is from RNAcentral.
CACGUAGGGGGCGAGCGUUGUCCGGAUUUAUUGGGCGUAAAGAGCUCGUAGGCGGUUUGUCGCGUCUGCUGUGAAAACUCGGGGCUUAACCCUGGGCCUGCAGUGGGUACGGGCAGACUAGAGUGCGGUAGGGGAGACUGGAAUUCCUGGUGUAGCGGUGAAAUGCGCAGAUAUCAGGAGGAACACCGGUGGCGAAGGCGGGUCUCUGGGCCGUAACUGACGCUGAGGAGCGAAAGCGUGGGGAGCGAACAGG